CUACGGGGUGCACCAGUGGGGAAUAUUGGGCAAUGGGCGCAAGCCUGACCCAGCAACGCCGCGUGAGGGAAGAAGGUUUUCGGAUUGUAAACCUCUGUCCUUGGGGACGAAGAAGUGACGGUACCCAAGGAGGAAGCUCCGGCUAACUACGUGCCAGCAGCCGCGGUAAGACGUAGGGAGCAAGCGUUGUCCGGAAUUACUGGGCGUAAAGGGUGCGUAGGCGGCAUAUUAAGUCAGGUGUGAAAUACUCGGGCUCAACCCGGGGGCUGCAUUUGAAACUGAUAUGCUUGAGUGUGAGAGAGGAAAGUGGAAUUCCUAGUGUAGCGGUGGAAUGCGUAGAUAUUAGGAGGAACACCAGUGGCGAAGGCGACUUUCUGGCUCAUAACUGACGCUGAGGCACGAAAGCGUGGGGAGCAAACAGGAUUAGAUACCCUAGUAGUC
This 441-nucleotide ribosomal RNA is filed under the name uncultured bacterium. RNAcentral's name for it is "partial 16S ribosomal RNA". It matches the Rfam family "Bacterial small subunit ribosomal RNA", at positions 339 to 795 of the family's 1533-position model. The record is from RNAcentral.